The sequence is a ribosomal RNA, 730 nucleotides long. The stretch from base 258 to 413 matches the Rfam family "5.8S ribosomal RNA".
GGAUCAUUGUCGAAAUCGAACGGAAGAACGACCCGCGAAUCGUCAUUGCGUAGUAGACAGAGCCCGCGAGCACCUAACGCUCACGGGUCUCGCGUCGCGUCGGCGCGGGUGUACUCGAGACCCGCGUCGUACCGGCGGACAAACAACGUCAGCACGGAUCGUGCCAAGGACCUGCAUGGAGAGAAUCGUCGUCCCACGCCUUUGAUAGUCCUCGACGCGGGACGGGGGACGUACGCAAUCUCUACUCAAGUCUAAACGACUCUCGGCAACGGAUAUCUCGGCUCUUGCAUCGAUGAAGAACGUAGCGAAAUGCGAUACUUGGUGUGAAUUGCAGAAUCCCGUGAACCAUCAAUUCUUUGAACGCAAGUUGCGCCCGAAGCCAUUCGGCCGAGGGCACGCCUGCCUGGGCGUCGUGAAUCCCCUUGCCCCUAGGCACCCGCAUGAGCAUUGGCGGGGAUAUAUGCUCGGGCGCAGAGGAUGGUCUCCCGUGGGAUCGGGCAUGCACGGCAUGUCGAGGUGCGGUUGGCCGAAAAUCGAGCAUGGCGGUGACGGGCACCACGGCGUUCGGUGGAUCGAAUGAGAUUGGCUGCGUCGUGGGCUCGGCAUGCGGCGGGCUCCGGACUUUGAAUAUCCCCGAGUGCGAUCCCAGGUCAGGCGGGGCUACCCGCUGAGUUUAAGCAUAUCAAUAAGCGGAGGAAAAGAAACUAACGAGGAUUCCCUUAGUAGCGGC